This 95-nucleotide ribosomal RNA is filed under the name Aeromonas caviae. Lineage: Bacteria; Pseudomonadati; Pseudomonadota; Gammaproteobacteria; Aeromonadales; Aeromonadaceae. RNAcentral also lists the same sequence under 2 other names. The record is from RNAcentral.
GGAACCACCUGACCCCAUGCCGAACUCAGAAGUGAAACGCUGUAGCGCCGAUGGUAGUGUGGCAUUCGCCAUGCGAGAGUAGGACACUGCCAGGC